RNAcentral lists this ribosomal RNA (253 nucleotides) under uncultured bacterium. RNAcentral's name for it is "partial 16S ribosomal RNA". It matches the Rfam family "Bacterial small subunit ribosomal RNA", at positions 524 to 776 of the family's 1533-position model. The record is from RNAcentral.
UACGGGGGGGGCAAGCGUUGUUCGGAAUUACUGGGCGUAAAGGGCUCGUAGGCGGCCAAGUAAGUCAGACGUGAAAUCCCUCGGCUUAACCGGGGAACUGCAUCUGAUACUGGAUGGCUUGAGAUUGGGAGAGGGAUGCGGAAUUCCAGGUGUAGCGGUGAAAUGCGUAGAUAUCUGGAGGAACUCCGGUGGCGAAGGCGGCAUACUGGACCAAUACUGACGCUGAGGAGCGAAAGCCAGGGGAGCAAACGGG